Molecule: transfer RNA, 87 nt
Filed under: Lactococcus lactis
Lineage: Bacteria; Bacillati; Bacillota; Bacilli; Lactobacillales; Streptococcaceae
Description: tRNA-Ser
Rfam family: tRNA
About the family: Transfer RNA (tRNA) molecules are approximately 80 nucleotides in length.
Source: RNAcentral
GGAGCCAUGGCAGAGUGGUAAUGCAGCUGACUCGAAAUCCGUCGAACCGUUUAUAACGGCGCAAGGGUUCAAAUCCCUUUGACUCCU